GUUCUAAACUCACAAUCAACAGAAUCUUAUCAAAGAUGGAAAAACCCCUAAUAACCUCCUAGGCAGUUGAAGGUAGCUUUGGUUGAAAGUGUUGCCACAACCCUGAAGCCAAGAGUAACCACCACGAUCUUGUCAAUGACUAUUCAUGCCAGUGCAAAUACAUUCACAAGAAACGAGACAUCUCUGGAAGCAAGAAAAGGAGACUGAAAGUCAGGGCAGGGUGUGAAGGUUGACGCUAACACGGUGCUGGAAUCUAGAGGUAAAGGGAGGGAGGAGUUGGUGACACCACCUCAGGACCAGCUGGUUGCACCCUGGUUUUGAAUGAGAGCAGAGGGACCCGAGGAAAGGUCUGGGCUAGUGGCUGGACCUGAGAGCCUUGGCCAAAGCCAGAAUCUCCACACUGCUACACUCUCCAUGAAAGACAGAUUGGAAAGCUCUACUGAACAGCCCUCUAAAAGUGACAGAGACCAAUACGAUCACGAUCAAAUGAAGAGCUGUGGAGCCAAGUCCCUCACUUAAGACUCGGGGAUCAAUUCAGGGAAGAGGGAGCUGUGGAAGAGGAGGUAGAAAUAUUUUAAGAGCCAGAGGGAGUUUGCUGUGAGAUGAUGGAUGCCGUGUGAAUUCUUUCCAAGUGCCCACCUGCUGCUUGAUGUCCCCACACGUACACGUUUCCCUUAUCCUGCUAAUUGAUCAUCUUACACCAACCAACACCCAUCUACCCACAUCGUCCUUACUCUAUGGAGUUACCGUCCUGCCAUGACAGUGAUGCUCCACGGGGUCUGGACUUCAACCUCUAUCCUUCGGCACCUUCUAUCUCAUCUUGCUCUGCUCACCAAAUUCAGAAAUAAUUAGUUGACCAAUGGGCGAGGAAUAGGAAAAUACCAUGAAAAUAUUGAAAUCCAUGGAAAGCAAUCCAUGUUACACCUUUCUCUUCAAAGACUACACAAAAGAGAAAUAAAACGACAAGAACC
Peromyscus maniculatus bairdii (prairie deer mouse) is the source of this 971-nucleotide non-coding RNA. The record is from RefSeq and is a predicted model, not a curated record. NCBI's taxonomy places the organism in Eukaryota, Metazoa, Chordata, Mammalia, Rodentia, Cricetidae.